Molecule: long non-coding RNA, 1098 nt
Organism: Lathyrus oleraceus (garden pea)
Lineage: Eukaryota; Viridiplantae; Streptophyta; Magnoliopsida; Fabales; Fabaceae
Exons: 3
Source: RefSeq, a predicted model, not a curated record
CCAACUUUCUCGUCCGAACAAUAGCGCCGUUUGUCCCUUUCCAAUCUUUAAGCGAACACUCCAAGCACCCUAUCCUCUCAAAACCGAAUCUUCCAACGCAACCUCAUCUUUCCAUUAUCAUUAACCUUCGAGCACACCUCAUCGCGGUAAUUGUUUCCCAAUCUCAAAGUUCCAUGGAACCUCAGAAACUCCGAAUUAAUUCUUGCAAACUUCUUCGUUUCUAAUUCAAAUUCAACGACUGCGCGGCAUCUCAGGCACGGCGGAAUCAAGAAGCUUGACAAAAAACACUUAUUUGACUAAGCAGUCUCUUCAGUGGCGAUAAACGAAUAUUUUACCACCGCGAUACGACGCCCCUUACUCAGAACGUUUCUGUCUCGGCUUCGAACUUGGUUUCGAUAUUAAGGAGAGAACACAAAUAUAUGGAAAGGGAAGAUUGGGACUUACCAACGGAGGGGAGAUAUCCUCCGGUCCAUUCGAAACGUUGUUGUCGGAGACUGCGGGAGAGAACCAAAGUUGCUUUUAACUCCAGGCGAAUUAUGGAUCGUCGAGCGUGUUUGAUUCUUUGCAGGGUGAAUUUCGAUUCGCAUAAUGGCUGAGAUUCGGCUGCAGGAAGGUGGAGAAGACGAGACUGAGAGAAUGAAGAAUACUGAUGCAGAAUCAGGAAUCUUGAGAUGCAGACUGAAUAAGCUCUUGGAGCGGAGUGAAGAAGAGAGAGUUGCAGAAAUGAAGAAGAGAAAGUUGCAGAAAUGAAGAAGCUCCUCAAUCACAGUGCAGGACUUGGUUUGUGACUUGGGAAGGCUUGAAGAUCUUCAUUGUGAAUGUUAAGACUUUUAAUGACAACUCAGUCAGAUUUGGUUACAAAUUCUGUUAGCAUUGAGAUAGGUCUGCUUAACCUAAAUUUGAAUUAUUAGAAGGGAAGUCAUUGGUUGUAAAAGGAGCAUAAUCAGAUUGACAUGAACAAGCUCCAAAAUCUUACUAGUCUGUUACAGUAUUAGAGUUGCCAAAUGAGACUUAUGAUUUUGCUAAUUUCUUUAUUGAAUUCAAAUGGUUUGAACAAGUGUUACUCGUGUUAAUAUGUAGUUACAACCUUUAUUAUUA